GACGAACGCUGGCGGCGUGCUUAACACAUGCAAGUCGAACGGACAGGCCCUGCUUUUGUGGGGUGCUCGAGUGGCGAACGGGUGAGUAACGCGUGAGUAACCUGCCCUUGACUUUGGGAUAACUUCAGGAAACUGGGGCUAAUACCGGAUAUGAGCUCCUGCUGCAUGGUGGGGGUUGGAAAGUUUCGGCGGUUGGGGAUGGACUCGCGGCUUAUCAGCUUGUUGGUGGGGUAGUGGCUUACCAAGGCUUUGACGGGUAGCCGGCCUGAGAGGGUGACCGGCCACAUUGGGACUGAGAUACGGCCCAGACUCCUACGGGAGGCAGCAGUGGGGAAUAUUGCACAAUGGGCGGAAGCCUGAUGCAGCAACGCCGCGUGCGGGAUGACGGCCUUCGGGUUGUAAACCGCUUUCGCCUGUGACGAAGCGUGAGUGACGGUAAUGGGUAAAGAAGCACCGGCUAACUACGUG
Molecule: ribosomal RNA, 468 nt
Filed under: uncultured bacterium
Lineage: Bacteria
Description: partial 16S ribosomal RNA
Rfam family: Bacterial small subunit ribosomal RNA
Source: RNAcentral